UAAAUGCAAAAAUCGAAAAUUAAUAGGGAUAAUUUGAAAAAUACACUGUUUAUCAUUUAAAAUUUGAAAUGUAUAUUCCUUUUUUCUUUUUUUUGAACAUUACACUUUCUUGUUGGAACACGGAGAAAGUUCUAACAGCUCUCCUCUACGAUGUACAGGAAAAAAAAAUCAAAAUUUGUUUGUUAUAGAUCUGUCGAAGUUCUUGUGUGUUUCUCAGUCUUGUUCCAACGUUCUAUGCGAUGAGUGACUCUUUUGAAGCAUGUUUCACAAUAUACUACAAUGGAAAAUUUGAAAUUAAUGAUGGUGUCACUUCAUAUAAAGGAGGGGAUACAUAUGAUCUUGUUUGCUAUCCCAAGAUGAUGUUCACAAAGCUGUCGGACGCACUUGGAAUCAGCUUAUACGGACAAAGGAUUUGGUACAAACUUCCUUAUGAAGACAUCACAUAGCUGAAAAUGAUGUGUAAUGUUGGGGUCAAAAUCGGUCACGACGAAAUCAAUGUCUGAAAGUCCGUAAAAAUCGGCAUGAGCGUUUUUAC
Brassica napus (rape) is the source of this 535-nucleotide long non-coding RNA. RefSeq lists it as uncharacterized. The record is from RefSeq and is a predicted model, not a curated record. NCBI's taxonomy places the organism in Eukaryota, Viridiplantae, Streptophyta, Magnoliopsida, Brassicales, Brassicaceae. The transcript has 2 exons.